Myodes glareolus (Bank vole) is the source of this 742-nucleotide long non-coding RNA. RefSeq lists it as uncharacterized. The record is from RefSeq and is a predicted model, not a curated record. NCBI's taxonomy places the organism in Eukaryota, Metazoa, Chordata, Mammalia, Rodentia, Cricetidae.
UGGACCUGUUCCUGGUGGUUCAGCAUUUAUCUUCUCAUUCUCAACCAACUGUCUUGGGUUCACAAAGGUCCACACACACCAGUUCUAUCCUGUGGCUUUUCAAGCCAGAGUGGAAGGAUAUGAGGGGAAGAGACAUAAGCAGUCUGGAAAUAUCAUGAACUGAUGCUGUGAGAAAUCCAUUUGGGAAAGACUGUGCUCUGGGGAGCUGUUGUGCCCCCUGAGGUCUGGCUCGCGGUACUACUGUCACCUCCAGUUUAAUGUGUGUUUUUAUACACAGCAUAGUCUUUCCAGUCUCUGACAUGCUAUCAGUUCCUUCUGGAACAAUUUGUACAAGAUGAUGUAUUUGCCCCACAAUGCAGCAGAAGUCAGAGAACAACUUUUGGAAGUCGAUUCUUUCUUUUCACUGUGGAAUCUGGGAAUUGAAUUCAGGAUUUCAGUCAGGUAUGGCAAGAUUAUCCCCUGCAUAACUCAUAUGAACAUACAGCUGACUACUGAGGUUUCUCCUUGCUUUAUAACACGUUCCUGAGUAAUGCAUCAAAGACAGAGACUUCAAGCAAUGAAAAAUGCACUCGUGUCCAUCCUGUUCAAGACCAUUAGAUAUUACUUCUCUACACUCUCUAUGGGAAACUUCAUCAAGUGGACCCUACUCCUGCCCAGGAUCCUGUGCCAAGUGAAGUUCAGCAGGCACAGGAAUGCCUCCAAGGCACCUUCUAAAUCUGUCAAGGCCAAUUUAGAAGCUGAA